GGGAGGCUUUUGGACCGAGUUGAUGGAGAUGAAACUAAGUAAUGGAAGUUCCCGGUUCAGGUGGCCAUUCCACCGGGAUCGGCUACCAGAGGAUUUGUAACUUAGAAUAGCUUACAAAUUAGGAUGCUAGUUGCUGUGCCCAGCGAUUGGGUUACCUGCUGAUUCUAAACGAAGUUUGUGUGGUGCUUUCCUUCACACAGCAACUCAACUGAUUUCCAGAGAGAAAGGAUCUGGAGAACCAAACUCAACUCCUUCAUCUUCUGAGCUACCUCCUCAGGCCCCAUUGAAAGAUAUCUUAAGGUGAAAGAAGGCUCAACUUUCUCCCCCCACUGGAUCAGAUGUGCGUUCUUGGUUCACUGAUGAAGAUCCUCCCAAUCUACCGAGGAGUUCUGGGAACUGAAGACUCACGCUUUCACUAAGGAGGCAGACAUGGUAUGCAGAACUUGUGAGCUCUUGCAUCAGAUCUGAGAACAGUCAAUGUAGCACGAGCACCGUACAGCAUUUGGGGGGAACACUAUGAGAUGACACAAAACGGGACCUCAGCUUACAGGCAUUAAGAAAACCCACUCCCUCUCCUACCAGGUGAGAUAGCAAAUUCCGAAACAGAGCAGUCUGUGCUCACCAUCUCCAAAGCCAUGUUGGAAGCAAGGUGAACGCAUGGGUGAUCUUGCCACUCUCUGUGCCUUCACACUGAUCGUUCAGAGCAGAGCAUCUCUUGAUGAUGUAGGACCACAGAAGACUAAGCAAGUUAGCAAGGUCCAUUGGCCUUGUUCAUCAGUCUUUUUUAUUUUUAAUAUAUGUGACAUAUAUCUGGAAUAAAAAGAAC
This 826-nucleotide small RNA is filed under the name Rattus norvegicus (Norway rat). Its description in RNAcentral is "uncharacterized LOC102548181". The record is from RNAcentral. Lineage: Eukaryota; Metazoa; Chordata; Mammalia; Rodentia; Muridae.